CACUCUCUUUCCUGGGCAGAACAAGGUAGGAGAAAGACUCGUGAGAGGAGUGCCCCACCAAGUGAAACUGCAGCUACACAGACCUCAAAGUCCUUAAACACUUGCACUGUUAAGCAUGAAAAUAGUUAAUUAAUCUAAGACGAAACGUUGGAAUUUUUAGUCUCGCAGUAUUUUUUAGUCGUGAGAGUUAGCAAUACACUAAAGGCAACAUGAAUGUGUUAAUGGUUUUGCUCUGGUUGCUCAUCCUUAUCUUCGCCUCCUGGUGGAUAGCGUGUUUCGUCUUCUUGCCGUACCUUGUGUGUGGCGUCCUGGCACCUUGGAUUCCUCCUUUUAAAGAUUUUGAAGCUUUCCUACUCCAAGGAGUGCGUUUCCCCGGCUUCUGUUCCGAAAGGAUAUGUGCUGCUUUUUCGAAUGAAUGAGAGAAAAAGGAGCAGUGAUUCUGUACAUGUUGAAAUUUCACCACUGCCACAGUGUAAAUAACAAAAAAACGGCAUGCAGCAAAUGGAGUUAACCAGAUUAAUAGGAGCAACAGACUGACCGCAUGUGAAACAUCAAAAUGUAUUAAUAAAAAAAAUUUAACAAAAAAAUUUGUACAAGUACAAAUAAUUUAUUGAAAUUAGUAUGUAAGACUAAACUUGUGUUUUUACUGAGCUCUUGUUAUCUCUGAUCACUGUUGAUUGUUAUAUUUGCUAAUUAUAUGGUUUACUAGCAUUGAUUUA
Molecule: long non-coding RNA, 719 nt
Organism: Cimex lectularius (bed bug)
Lineage: Eukaryota; Metazoa; Arthropoda; Insecta; Hemiptera; Cimicidae
Exons: 3
Source: RefSeq, a predicted model, not a curated record